This 776-nucleotide ribosomal RNA is filed under the name uncultured Neocallimastigales. RNAcentral's name for it is "partial large subunit ribosomal RNA". It matches the Rfam family "Eukaryotic large subunit ribosomal RNA", at positions 26 to 634 of the family's 3401-position model. Lineage: Eukaryota; Fungi; Neocallimastigomycota; Neocallimastigomycetes; Neocallimastigales. The record is from RNAcentral.
CACUGACGUCGCGACGCAUAUCAAUAAGCGGAGGAAAAGAAACUAACAAGGAUUCCCUUAGUAACGGCGAGUGAAGCGGGAAGAGCUCAAAUUUGAAAUCUUCAAGGUUCUACCUUGACGAAUUGUAGUUUAAAGAAGUGUUUUCUGUUAGUGGAGUGGCAAAAGUUCUUUGGAAUAGGACAUCAUAGAGGGUGAGAAUCCCGUAUUUGGUCAUUCCUUCUAGCUUUGUGAUACACUUUCAAAGAGUCGGAUUGUUUGGGAAUGCAGUCCAAAAUGGGUGGUAAAUUUCAUCUAAAGCUAAAUAUUGGCGAGAGACCGAUAGCGAACAAGUACCGUGAGGGAAAGAUGAAAAGAACUUUGAAAAGAGAGUUAAACAGUACGUGAAAUUGUCAAAAGGGAAGCGUUUGACACCAGUGUUGUUUUUCCGAAAAUCAAUUAUAAAUGUUUUGUUUCUGAGGAGUGAUGACUUCAUCGGCUUCCUUCUCUCUUCACGAAACUUUUGUAAUGCACUUUUCGGUUAACAAGUCAACAUCAAUUUCUUUUGUUGUAAAAGAGUAUUCGGAAGGUGGCUUUCUUCUCGGAGAAAGUGUUUAUAGCCCUAUACUUCUACAAUCGGAGAGAUUGAGGUCUGCAGCGUAGAUCCUUCGGGGUUAGAUACACUUUGUGCUAAGUUAUAGCCUUUCAUAGACAACUUGUUGACUAUGUUAUCAGUCAUGUAGCUUACUCGCUUAUGCUAUUUUACCUACGCUUAGGAUGUUGAGUCGUAGAGCACGCAG